UCACAUACUUUAAAAAGCCCUUUUUAUUGUCUCUCACAGACCUGGCCAGCUUCAACUGUAAUUGGGCUUUGGUCACAUGAAUUUUCUCCCUACAAAAGCAAAUAACAUCCCUGAAAACAGUGUGGCACAGUUUCCUCUGGAGCAAUUUAAAGUAUCACUGAAAUGCAGAUGUGAUCUCUAUAGAACCUGCUGGAUGGGGAGCUGUGAAAACUUGUUUCCAUUGUGCAGUCCAAAUACAUGGCUUAUGCUUAACACUUUUCUGACCUAAGCUUCCAAACGUGGUGCAUUGGUUUGGCACAGCUGUUAGGCCUUUGAACUAAGCCUUUCCUCCUACCUUCUUGUGACAACUACAUCCCCUUUCUGUGCAGGUCUGAAUUUUAUGCAUGAUGGUGGCGAACCUUAUCCCAGAGACAUUAAAAACCUGAUGGUUCUGCAACUACUUGAACUAGUACCUCUUAAUUAAACCCUUUAAAUGGUAUCCAAACUAUUUAUCAUCAUUAUACAUAGAAGAGUGGCUGCUUACCGGGGAAAAAUUGAGCUGAGGAGGUCUGUUACGAAGUGGAAUUGAAGCUGGUGUUAGUGAGCUUGGGAGGAGUCCUAUGGUGAAAAAGCUGGCUGACAUAGAUUUAUCAAACUCUAUUUAAAUACUGCGUUUGGUUACACAAGCCAAGGUAUAGAUAAGAAAGCUCUGUGGGUGAGGAAGGAAAUUAUUCCCUGCAGGAAAGGGAUUAUUUUUUACUUGAAACAAUUUCCUAAUUGGCUACAUCUGUGCCACCAAAACUCUUGGCAACCUAAGGCAUCAUUUUUGUGGCUGUUGCUUGAGGUGGGACACAAUAACUAAAUCCUUGGUAUGAUCUAGUGUGACAUGGCUAUUUUUCUGAUGGAAUUUGGGGGAAUGAAGGGAUAUCAGGGUUUAAGCAACUCUAAGGACCGACCAGAACAAUGAGUGGUGUGGGGAGCUAUGGUAAGCUUGGCUGUAUAAUUGGUAUGAGGUUUUUCUAAUGACUCAGAAAAUUGCUGGUUCCCUCUCAAUGUUGGAAUUACUUUUGGAUGGUGCUCAUUAGUGCUCUACAUGCUUAACAACGGCAUCACACUGACUGGGAUUUUUUUCAUAUUGGGAGCAUAACAUGAAACAGACCGGUUUGAACCAUGUGCAUUAAGAGGAGGGUCCAUGGGAUUCCCACUCUAGUUCCUGCAGUCCCUUCUCAGGGGCGGGGGUGAAAUAACGUGUUAAAUCCAGUACGGCUUCUUUUUUGUUGAGACAUCUGUAGACCUCUUCUGCAGCCCACUCUCAGCCUGACCUCCACAAGACAGAAGUCUGAACUCUGUACAGGAGCAUUACACACACUGCCACCUUGUAAUAGUUCCAAAAACAUCAUGAGCCAGACUAGCAAAUAGUUUUUUGACCUUUUUUUGGCAAGUUUCAUCUAAACCUUUACAGCUGAUGGUUUUUAUUCUGUUUGCUGUACUGUUACCAGACAAUAACCUCCUUGAAGGCCAGGCUACAAAUGCGUGAUGAGCAUGAGCAGGUUCAUUAAAUUUGUGAUAGAACUAUAAACGAUGGCACGCUGACUUCUGCUUCCUUUGUGCUUGGUUUCCUUGCUUCAUUACACUUCUAUGCUGGAGUAAACUUGAAGCAGAGGCGUGAGUCUUUUUCCCCCCCCCGUGUAAAGUGUAGGUUAUUUCUUGAAGCCUGCUUGCAGCUCAGCUUUCUGCAGCCUUUCUAUAGGAGCUGAUCUGCAGGCUGAUGCGUAACUUGCUGUUCUUGUGCUGAUUAAGGUCCACUGGAAGACAACGGUGAUGACUUAAAUGUGUCUUUGUAUGCAAAAAUGUUUCCAAAACUGAUAUAGGAAGAAACUAACACCUUCCUAGGUUUGUAAUGCUGCUGAGGAGGAUUGCUGUACUAAGUUCCCUGUCUGAGGUCCCUGUUACUCUGUCUAAACUCUGCUUUUUAAUGAAAGAGCAUCCUGGUGCCAGUAAGAAUGGAUGGAAUAUGCUCAGGGCUGUACAUCACUGCCCCCAAGUGUUGAGCUGACCAAGGGAAAGGGUCUGGACUUGAACACAAAAGUAAAAAGGGUGGGUAGAAGAGCAGAAUUUUUGGGUCAUUGGCCCUCAUCAGACCAGGCACUUUUCUUUCAUUAGCAAACCAGUUUGUGGGUUGCCCUUUUACCACAUCUGUUGUUGCUUUUUCCAACUGCAGAGUCCUCAAUUAGAGUUCAUUAGAGACCUUGUCAAUCACAGGACUCCAGAAGUGCAGGCUGAAAGCAGUUGUGUGCGGUGCUGGUAAUGUGCCUUGGCAUGGAAGGCUCUGCUUGGAAUCCAAUUAGUCCUUAUUUGUAAAUAGGCUACUUGGAGGCUGUCAAUGUGCAGGAGGACUUUGAAAUCACUACAAAAAGUGUUUAGCGUAGGCACAUGCCUUUUUAAGGACAACUAAUUUAAAUUAGAAUAAUUUUCUAUAGAACUCUGGAAACUGGGCUGGCAGAAGGCUCGGGGUGUGUACCUGUCCAGGUCUGGAGGGUCAUUCAUUUUCCAUGAGGGGAACAUUACCAGGGAUUGCACUGCUCUGAGAUGGAGCCAUCGUGAGGAUACCCCAAGCAACAGCACUUGUAGCGUUGCUCCACAAUUAAAAUCUGUAUCAUGAAUACUGUCUCUCUUCCUUACUGCCUCAAGUUCCCCAGCAGAAGUUGGCUGCUGUUGAUGUUCUGUGCUUACAGAAGUCAAUUGUGAACCAUGUGGUCCAUCCCGUGCUGAAAGGGGAAUAUUAAGGGGAUUUUCUGCAUGGAAAUGCUUCUUUUAUCAGUUGACAGUAAGGCUUUGGUUUUGCUCACACAAAUCCCACUGACUGGCAUGAAAUAAGGAGGCUGAUAGAGUGGGCAAAUGGUUUAUACUGCACGAUCAGAACGAUCUUGGAGAAUUGUCCUCCUGUUUCCCUUCUUUGAAGGUGACAGCUGUGCAGUAAGUUGGUCCUCAUAUCCUUUUAGCUGUUUUUAUCUCCUCAAGAGAAGCCUCAGCUCUCAGGCAGUGCUGUUGUGGAGGAUCUCUGCCAAGGACACCUUGGAAGCACAAGGCAGGGGAGGUGAAUGUUAGCUGGGAUCACGCCUUCCUGAAGCCUUUCUCUUUUCAAGACAUCUUCACUGGCAUGGCUUGGAGGGGUGCAUCUUUGGGAAAGGUGGAGGAUGGACACUGGAUUUGUUGUGCUCAGGGGCCACAUGCAGCAAGGGGUCUGUGGCAGGGUUGCUCUGAUGGCUUUGGCUUGGAUAUGGAAGCUGAUGUGCCCUCGGUCUUGGUGAAAGUGAAGCAGGUUCCUCUGUGAAUAAGAAUUUCCUGCUGAAUGUUUAAUUUGGAUGAUUGCCUGUCUGUGCACAUAUAAAUGAAAUGAAAAAUCUCGCUGACUCAGAAAAAUCAGAUGGCUGGCAUGAAGUGGGAAUGGGGAAUCAUCCUUUCAAAACUGGAUCAUAAAAUGGACAAGCAGACUCACCAGGAGAGUGGGGCUUGUUUGCAGCCAUGACUUUCAUCUCUUCCCAGUAGGAUCGGUAUUCAGAUAAUGUUCAAUUUAUUCCCAUUUUUCUUCAGUGUUAAAUGUGAAAGCCUCCUUGAUGUAGAGAAUCAAGUUAUUGCUGCCAAGGAAGAAAUAAAGCUAAAGUUAUUUAUUGAUAAAGCAAUCAGUAGCUUCACUGGUUGUUUUUUCAAGGAUAAUUUGUAGUUAAAGAUUUGGGAAGUAACCAUCUCUGCUUGAGUUUCUAAUUACAGCAGAAUGCUUAGAUAUUUUAGUAUGUGUUACUUUUUAAAAAGUCCCAGAGUAAUGAAUUUACACAUGUAUAACCUUCUGACUGAAAUACUUGAACAAUAUUCAUGAGCUUGCUUCAUACAGCUAGUGUGCUUCCAGGCAAGCCUCAAAUCUGCUUGUGUGCCUUUUGGUAACUGAAGAUAUAUGAAGCUAGAGAAUUUAUCCUCAGUAAAUGGCUGCACAGACCAUAAAGAACAUGAGAAUGUGGCUGGGGUUCUUUGUAUCUCGAGUCCAAAAGCCUAAGAAGUAUACACUUUUGAGGGGAAAGAUAAAAUAAUUGAAUGCAGAUGGCUAGCUGAACAGCUAGUGAGGAUAGAAGAUGUUUUCAAAACAUAAAUAAAAUUCAGACCCCGUGAAAACUUGAAAAGAGUGGAAGCAGAACUACGUUGACAGCCUCAUGGUGUAAGAGCUGAGUUUUUGACCUGCUGCUCUUCCUGAGCUUGCUGAUGGGUGUGAUGGACUCCAGGCUAUCUGCAGCCAGUUGGUUUUCUAAUGCAAGGAUUACUGGCUAAAGAAAAGGGGGGUCUGGCUCUGAAGAAACUUACGGUGGUUGUGAGCCAGCUUUCCAUUCAGUGAGUGGCUUUAAGCAGGCGCUUUUCCAGCUAGAAAGGAUUACCUCUGGAUACCUUGAUGGUAACUGGAGAUCGUGAUGUGUGUGAGUGGUCAGUGUGAUGCUGGCAUGGAGCUAGCAACCCCUCUCGCAUGAGAUUGUAAAAAUCAAUUUCACUUCUGGCUCUGUAUUCAUGUAGUCAUUUUGUUUUUAAGCCUGAACUGUGUCUUUUUUCUUCCAGGUUCCUGCUGGUGUUACAAGCCCUUGAAAUGUCUGUUCAAAUCUUUCUAAUGGAGUGUGUGUUGGGGGGUGUGUGUGUGUGUGUCAGGGGAUCACCCGAUGAGCUCGAAUCCUGAUUAGAAACCUAUCUAAGAGCUUUCAAAGAUUGGGGUGGGGGGGUGGCAGGGGAAGCCAGGCUAUAGAAACUUCAAGGUAAAGAGCUGGAGAGUGUGCCUGUGCCUUUCCUGUAGCUGUUGCUGGAUAUCUCCAACACCAGCUGGACUCCUGACACAUGCAGUCGAGACUUCCCAAGAUAUUGAUAUGCUGUGACGACUCAUGGGACUUGUGACUGGUAAUGAGAUACAGAAGCCUUCACCUGCAGGUCACUAGUCAAACUCUGGGGCAUCUCAUUGUGCCUGCCAGAUGGCUAGCUUUUGUUUCUCGGUAAGCUCCAUAAUGCAGAAUCCAGCAAAAGCCCUAUUUUAUCCAGCAAGUCAGCAGAAGAAUGCCAAGGAUCCUGUUUUAUGAACAGUAGUCACCUUUCAGAGACUUUAGAUGCCCUUCCUUGAGCUGAAUUGAAAAGUGCUGGAAUUCAGUGCAAAUACUCAAAGCUGGGCUGUUUCCAAUAUCAAUUACAUCGGCCUUGGACACAAGAGUACAUUUAAAUGUCAUUUAAUAAACAAAGCAUGAAGAAUGUAUGGCCCUUGGACAUCUGAUGGAUCAAAUUAAGGUUUAGCAACGUGUGGAUUUGUGGGAGUGACUUUACUAGUGGUUUUAGGUCCAAGAUGAAUGGAGCCAGGCUUCCUUCUAGAGUUUCCACAACAUCCGUUAGGCCACGUCUGUGUUCUGCAGGAACAGGAAAAUCUGGGGCUGUGGAAUGACUCGGAAAAAUUAUAAUAUUUUAUUAGAGGCUGGCCCAGAGGGGAGGAAUCCAGGCUGAUGGGGGAGGGAGAGGGGGGUGUCUUGUGCUAAAACAAGUCUUCUGUGGAACUACUGAUGACUUGUACGGACUGUUCUUUGCAUUCAGGUGGCUUCCCCAGGUAACACAGGCAAUGUUUUUGUCUACUACUGUAAUGAUGUCAGUUGCUGUAAAGGAAAAGCAAAGUCUUAAGAGUUCACAUGCAAUUAAGAUACUCAUUUUUCAGUUUGGUUGCAGCUUUUACUUAAAAACUAAUCAAGUUACGUGUUUUCAGAUACCUGCAUGUUAUAGACACACAUUCCAAAGGACAAAUGGCUCUGAAUGCCUGCAUUGCUAAUAUUUUGAAGCUUCUCCUAAAACCUUAAGGAAAAAUGUUUCACCUUUUAAUUUUUAUGCACUUAGCAUAGUUCUGCAGUGUGUGAGGUUCCUUGUGGGUGUCCUGACCUCUACAUAAAUGUGGAAAAACACGCAUUUUUAAAGCACAGACCCUAACACAAACAAUAUUGCUGCUUCAAUUUUAAACGUGAUUUAUUUCAGUUAAGGCUGUAGGGAGAAAAAAAAAAUAAUACCUUUAGUGUAGUCAUGUUGCACAGCUAGUGAGCCAGACUCUGAACUUUUCUGAAUGUAUGGUGGGGAAUUAGAUUGAACCCAACAGCCAGCCUAAUCAAAGCUAAGCUGGAGAAUGCAUGUGAGGCUGAAGAGUCUCACAUUUGCCUGUUUAAACAAUUUACCUUUACUGCUCACUUUUUCUAACCUUUUUUAGAGGCCAGUUCAAUGGUGUUUUAAACAGAUUACCAAAACAAUGGUCUCUGAAUUAACAUUGCUGAAAAGUGAGUCAAGAAGGAAAGAUUAUUAGGUUAGCUAUGCCAGCAAAUGCACGGUUUUGAGCAUGGCACAAGUGAUUAUUUGUCUUGAUAGCAGAGCAGGCAACUUAAUUAAAACACUGUCCACAUACCUGGCUUGCUCUGAUGGAGAAUCCUGUUACACAAGACAACAGAAUCCUUGUUCAACAUGCAGCAGAGCAAGCCUAACUCAUUCACUUUUUCUUGCCUCAUCACUAUGUGUUCAUUGUGUAUCUCCUUGGAAAAAAUAAAUCCCACAACCAGUGUCGUGGUGCACGGUAUGUGCUUCUGAAUGAUGCUGCUAUUGCCGUCCAGCCUGAACAGCUGAGUCUGGACCUCCUCAGAGUCCUCUCUUUUUCUUUACUGAUUUACAGCGAGGGUGGUCUUGCUCUGAGUAUAUACACAAGCACUAUAAUAGAUGGAGUGCUUAUUUGUGGAAAUGUGUGUGCUAGGGUCCAGAGCACACUGUGGACCAAUUUGUAUUAACGAUGGCCUUUAGCUAAAGAUACGAGGUUAAAAUUAUAUUCUGCAUUUGACCCUCCACUGCUUUAAGGAUGGAGAAACUUGUGUCAAAAUAAAGCUGGGAACGCACACUUUGCUUACAAAGCAAUCCUCAUAUAGUCAAUGUUUUCAUCACAGCGAUGCUUAUUU
Long non-coding RNA from Anas platyrhynchos (mallard), 6968 nucleotides. RefSeq lists it as uncharacterized. The record is from RefSeq and is a predicted model, not a curated record. Lineage: Eukaryota; Metazoa; Chordata; Aves; Anseriformes; Anatidae.